Long non-coding RNA from Psammomys obesus (fat sand rat), 610 nucleotides. RefSeq lists it as uncharacterized. The transcript is spliced from 3 exons. Lineage: Eukaryota; Metazoa; Chordata; Mammalia; Rodentia; Muridae. The record is from RefSeq and is a predicted model, not a curated record.
AUGAUAGAUACUGAACUGUAUUGUAUUUCUGUAGUUCUUAUUACUACAGGGGUGUUAAAAGAGGAUAAUUUCACUGUUUCACGCGGGCAUUUUUUUUUCCUAUGCAAAGUGGAGUGAGUUCUUGGAGAAAAGUGAAUACCACAUACAGGACUUUGUCAUUUCUGUGUGCAGAGUGAUAAUUGUUACAACAGAGAAAAGCAUAGCCCGUGCUCCAGCGAGAAAGCCUCCUUUUAUUGGCCUUUAGGAACUGUUGUGGUUUGAAUAUGAUUUGGCGUCACCAAAGCUCGUGUUGAGGCUUAGCCUCCAAUAAGACAGUGUUGUUCAGAUCUUUGAGAGCUCUUCUGUAAGAACUUGCUCCUGCUUCCUUUCCAUCUUUUUCCUAUGGAGCCACACACAGAUGCUGGUGCCAUGCUCUUGGACCUACAGAACUUGAACUACUUGCCUCACCUGAGUCUGGGAGAAAGGCUAUCCAAAUGAUGGUUUUGAUUACAAAGUGGUGUGCAAGAACUGGGUUUAUAUACUAUUCUUUUCAUGGUAUUCUAGGAGCCUGGCACUGAUGUGAGUAUGGUAGUUUUAUCUGUAGGUGGGAUUUGAAAACCCUUUGAAAUGU